Molecule: ribosomal RNA, 457 nt
Filed under: uncultured bacterium
Lineage: Bacteria
Description: bacterial SSU rRNA
Rfam family: Bacterial small subunit ribosomal RNA
Source: RNAcentral
UACGGAAGGCAGCAGUGGGGAAUAUUGCACAAUGGGCGAAAGCCUGAUGCAGCUAUGCCGCGUGUAUGAAGAAGGCCUUAGGGUUGUAAAGUACUUUCAUCGGGGAGGAAAAACAAAACUAAUAAUUUUAUUUCUUGACGUUACCCGAAAAAGAAGCACCGGCUAACUCCGUGCCAGCAGCCGCGGUAAUACGGAGGGUGCUAGCGUUAAUCAGAAUUACUGGGCGUAAAGAGCACGUAGGUGGUUUUUUUAAGUCAGAUGUGAAAUCCCUGGGCUUAACCUAGGAACUGCAUUUUGAAACUGAAAUACUAGAGUAUCGUAGAGGGAGGUAGAAUUCUAGGUGUAGCGGUGAAAUGCGUAGAUAUCUGGAGGAAUACCUGUGGCGAAAGCGGCCUCUAAACGGAAUCUGACACUGAGGUGCGAAAGCGUGGGGAGCAAACAGGGAUUAGAUACCCGU